CUUUCAGGAGACACCUGUGUCAGGCACGACGUGGUGAACUUUUAAAAACGGAUUCAGUAGUACCAAAAUACUCAUAAUGUGCAGACAGACAAAAGAACUGGAAGGAGUCGUGUUUUCAGACACAGGAAGCUUUUCACGUGCUCCACCUGGACCUCAUCUCUCAGCCUCACACUCCGAUCUUCAGCAGCCCCCGCUAUGCGCCCGAGUCUUGGGACGUCAUCCCGGAGCUCCUAGCCUGCCCGGGAGGCAGAGCCAUCAGGUAAGAGACGGUCACAAUGACAGCAACACAAUCCCGCUUGGGUUCUCUGUACAGAGUUUUCCUUUUAAAAUACCUUUUCCACUGAUGUUAUUUAAAAAUAACAACCUCAGAGUAGACUUCUGAUCUCUACCACAGGGCAGGUACAUCCCUCCCUUUUUAUGAGUAAUUCCUGCAGGGGUUAUAGCACGGCCUCCAGGUCACACGGGCUACACAAAAACACUUAGCCCAGUUUUCUAACUCCCAGGGAGUGAAGGAAUCACUAUUUUAAAAGGUGGCAAGCUUUUUUCUCCUUUACUCAGAUUUAACUCUGAUAGAAACUGACAGGCUCAAUCUUGGUUAAUUUUUUUUUUUUAAACACGAGAACAAGGUUCAAGAAAUUCAUCUUCAGGUGUCAGAGAGACGAAAAGAACCCAAUAGCUUUUAUCUUCAAGUCCUACAUUUAUGCAUCUCGUAAUGAGGGUGAUGGCUGGUUCCCUUACAACGGAGGGCUUCAUGCCUAGUGAACAACGGACCUGAAUUUAUAUCAGCCAUAAAGCCUUCCAGACGUGACGGUCACGCUAACAUCCUGACAUGAGGCAAUCUGCAGAGAGAUGGAAAGUGUGCUUGGCUAGAG
Molecule: long non-coding RNA, 872 nt
Filed under: Homo sapiens (human)
Lineage: Eukaryota; Metazoa; Chordata; Mammalia; Primates; Hominidae
Description: HSALNT0317431
Source: RNAcentral